RNAcentral lists this unclassified non-coding RNA (189 nucleotides) under uncultured Ascomycota. RNAcentral's name for it is "sequence contains ITS2". The record is from RNAcentral. Lineage: Eukaryota; Fungi; Ascomycota.
CAACCCUCAAGUCCCCUGUGGACUCGGUGUUGGGGACCGGCGAGACAGCAGCGGAUCUUCUACCGCGGCGAGUCGCCGCCCCCUAAAUGACUUGGCGGCCUCGUCGCGGCCCUCCUCUGCGUAGUAUAGCACACCUCGCAACAGGAGCCCGGCGAAUGGCCACUGCCGUAAAACACCCAACUUUUUCAG